GAUGAACGCUGGCGGCGUGCCUAAUACAUGCAAGUCGAGCGAACAGAUGAGGAGCUUGCUCCUCUGACGUUAGCGGCGGACGGGUGAGUAACACGUGGAUAACCUACCUAUAAGACUGGGAUAACUUCGGGAAACCGGAGCUAAUACCGGAUAAUAUAUUGAACCGCAUGGUUCAAUAGUGAAAGACGGUUUUGCUGUCACUUAUAGAUGGAUCCGCGCCGCAUUAGCUAGUUGGUAAGGUAACGGCUUACCAAGGCAACGAUGCGUAGCCGACCUGAGAGGGGAAUCGGCCACACUGGAACUGAGACACGGUCCAGACUCCUACGGGAGGCAGCAGUAGGGAAUCUUCCGCAAUGGGCGAAAGCCUGACGGAGCAACGCCGCGUGAGUGAUGAAGGUCUUCGGAUCGUAAAACUCUGUUAUUAGGGAAGAACAAAUGUGUAAGUAACUAUGCACGUCUUGACGGUGCCUAAGCAGAAAGCCACGGCUAACUACGU
Molecule: ribosomal RNA, 496 nt
Filed under: uncultured bacterium
Lineage: Bacteria
Description: partial 16S ribosomal RNA
Rfam family: Bacterial small subunit ribosomal RNA
Source: RNAcentral